CAGCAGCCACGGGAAUACGGAGGGGGCUAGCGUUGUUCGGAAUUACUGGGCGUAAAGCGCGCGUAGGCGGCUUGGUAAGUUAGAGGUGAAAGCCUGGGGCUCAACCCCAGAAUUGCCUUUAAGACUGCCGAGCUAGUAGGUGAGAGAGGUAAGUGGAAUUCCGAGUGUAGAGGUGAAAUUCGUAGAUAUUCGGAAGAACACCAGUGGCGAAGGCGGCUUACUGGCUCAUUCUAGACGCUGAGGUGCGAAAGCGUGGGGAGCAAACAGGAUUAGAUACCCCAGUAGUCCCUGUCUCUUAUAA
This 301-nucleotide ribosomal RNA is filed under the name uncultured bacterium. RNAcentral's name for it is "partial 16S ribosomal RNA". It matches the Rfam family "Bacterial small subunit ribosomal RNA", at positions 509 to 809 of the family's 1533-position model. The record is from RNAcentral.